AUGUCUCUCACCGCGCUCGGUCUUGCGUUCCUAAUCACAGAUCUUGAGCUGGAUACCUGAAUAUGUGCAACAUAUACAGCGUAACGAGACGAGAUCGAAUAUCGGCGGUCUUUGAGUACGGGCAAGGCUUGCGCUUUCCAUAGCCUUACCGCGUAAUUUACCAGUCGGAACAGA
Molecule: small nucleolar RNA, 174 nt
Filed under: Pseudocercospora eumusae
Lineage: Eukaryota; Fungi; Ascomycota; Dothideomycetes; Mycosphaerellales; Mycosphaerellaceae
Source: RNAcentral